GACGAACGGUGCGAACGUUGUUCGGAAUCACUGGGCUUAAAGGGCGCGUAGGCGGGCUGUCAAGUCUGGGGUGAAAUCCCACGGCUCAACCGUGGAACUGCCUUAGAUACUGACGGCCUCGAGGGAGAUAGGGGCGAGCGGAACUGUGAGUGGAGCGGUGAAAUGCGUUGAUAUUCACAGGAACUCCGGUGGCGAAGGCGGCUCGCUGGAUCUUUUCUGACGCUGAGGCGCGAAAGCUAGGGGAGCAAACGGG
This 253-nucleotide ribosomal RNA is filed under the name uncultured bacterium. RNAcentral's name for it is "partial 16S ribosomal RNA". It matches the Rfam family "Bacterial small subunit ribosomal RNA", at positions 524 to 776 of the family's 1533-position model. The record is from RNAcentral.